Molecule: ribosomal RNA, 328 nt
Filed under: Clostridium botulinum D/C
Lineage: Bacteria; Bacillati; Bacillota; Clostridia; Eubacteriales; Clostridiaceae
Description: bacterial SSU rRNA
Rfam family: Bacterial small subunit ribosomal RNA
Source: RNAcentral
UUUAAAUUGAGAGUUUGAUCCUGGCUCAGGACGAACGCUGGCGGCGUGCCUAACACAUGCAAGUCGAGCGAUGAAACUUCCUUCGGGAAGUGGAUUAGCGGCGGACGGGUGAGUAACACGUGGGUAACCUGCCUCAAAGAGUGGGAUAGCCUCCCGAAAGGGAGAUUAAUACCGCAUAACAUUAUUUUAUGGCAUCAUAAAAUAAUCAAAGGAGCAAUCCGCUUUGAGAUGGACCCGCGGCGCAUUAGCUAGUUGGUGAGGUAACGGCUCACCAAGGCAACGAUGCGUAGCCGACCUGAGAGGGUGAUCGGCCACAUUGGAACUGAGA